Molecule: ribosomal RNA, 465 nt
Filed under: uncultured bacterium
Lineage: Bacteria
Description: partial 16S ribosomal RNA
Rfam family: Bacterial small subunit ribosomal RNA
Source: RNAcentral
GACGAACGCUGGCGGCGUGCUUAACACAUGCCAGUCGAACGGAAAGGCCCCUUUGGGGGUACUCGAGUGGCGAACGGGUGCGUAACACGUGAGUAACCUGCCCUUGACUUCGGGAUAACUUCAGGAAACUGGGGCUAAUACCGGAUAGGAAUCCUUGCUGCAUGGUGGGGGUUGGAAAGCUUCGGCGGUUUUGGAUGGACUCGCGGCUUAUCAGCUUGUUGGUGGGGUAGUGGCUUACCAAGGCUUUGACGGGUAGCCGGCCUGAGAGGGCGACCGGCCACAUUGGGACUGAGAUACGGCCCAGACUCCUACGGGAGGCAGCAGGGGGGAAGAUUGCACAAUGGGCGGAAGCCUGAUGCAGCAACGCCGCGUGCGGGAUGACGGCCUUCGGGUUGGAAACCGCGUUCAGCAGGGGCGAAGCUUGUGGUGACGGUACCUGCAGAAGAAGCACCGGCUAACUACGUG